This 58-nucleotide transfer RNA is filed under the name Neotoma lepida (desert woodrat). The record is from Rfam by way of RNAcentral. Lineage: Eukaryota; Metazoa; Chordata; Mammalia; Rodentia; Cricetidae.
UGGCUCAGCGGAUAAGAGCACUGGCUGCUCUUCCAGAGGACCUGGGUUCAAUUCCCAG